RNAcentral lists this ribosomal RNA (253 nucleotides) under uncultured bacterium. Its description in RNAcentral is "partial 16S ribosomal RNA". It matches the Rfam family "Bacterial small subunit ribosomal RNA", at positions 524 to 776 of the family's 1533-position model. The record is from RNAcentral.
UACGUAGGUGACAAGCGUUAUCCGGAUUUAUUGGGCGUAAAGCGCACGCAGGCGGUCUAUCAAGUCUGACGUGAAAUCUCUCGGCUUAACCGGGAGCGGUCGUUGGAAACUGAAGGACUUGAGGCGAUGAGAGGGGUGUGGAAUUCCCGGUGUAGUGGUGGAAUGCGUAGAUAUCGGGAGGAACAUCAGUGGCGAAAGCGGCACCCUGGAAUUAGCCUGACGCUCAUGUGCGAAAGCGUGGGGAGUGAACGGG